Long non-coding RNA from Patella vulgata (common limpet), 6143 nucleotides. RefSeq lists it as uncharacterized. The record is from RefSeq and is a predicted model, not a curated record. NCBI's taxonomy places the organism in Eukaryota, Metazoa, Mollusca, Gastropoda, Patellidae. The transcript is spliced from 7 exons.
CAGCGUCUCAGUCGUUCACAGUACGGCGUGGAGUAAGAUCCAAGUAGUGGUUGUUUGUGGUGUGUGGGCUGGAGACGAAAGCGAAAACUAUUGUCGUUGCGUAAAUGUCGCGAUUAAUAUGUGUGUGACAGACCAUUACUUUGACAACAUUGAAUGUUCGCCCUGCAGCACUGUUUGUGAUAAAGCAAAAGCGAGGGGGAGUCUGGACACAUGCCUCAAAUAUUGUAAAGAUUACUAUGACCGCAUGAACAUGAACAGAUCUCCUGAUGGAGCCAACCAAUCAAACUUGUAUGUGGAGGUCUUGGUUCCAAUACUAGUCAUUGCUAUCGUGGUGACUAUUGUGGUUAGUGGCAUUUUAAUUCGGCGGAGAAAGAAACGAUCACCACAGCCGCAACAACCCUUAGAGGAAACCAGGCUCACGAUCGAAGAGAACUGUGAUGCACCGAUUAAACCUCAAGGAGAUUCUGGGAUUGAUACCCGUCAAUCACAGGAUCUCAAUUCACGUCAACGCGAUGACCCACCAAGCAACCAUGUCGAUACUGGUUUAUCGGAGACAAUAGAUCCCAGAUAUCUAUAUCCAUAUUCAGAAAACCGUUCCGUUUGACUCUGGGUAAUACAGAAAUCGAAAGAAACAGGAAACCCUUUUAACCUAGAUCUGCAUCUAGUCAUUAUUGGGAGAGUACAGUAUAGAAAACUAUAUAUUAUUAUUAUAUCACAGUAUGAACGUUUCGUUAAGCAGUGGCAUAGUUAUGCAUUUAUUUUGUUAUCUUCCAGACAGCUUACACCAAAUUUGUGAUUAGGGACCUCUACAUAAGUGACAAAUUAUAUAUCUAUUGCAAUUAUUUUGAGCAAAAGUGUGGAUGCGUCUGUAUAUAUAUUAUCAGGCAAAGAACACUGCCUUUAGGCAACAUUGUGAAUGCAUCUUAUAGUUGUAUGAAAGGGGUUGCAUAUCAUUAUUUUAAGAUCUCAUUAAUACUAUAACAGUGAUGUGCGUAUCAGGGAAGUUUGCUCAACAUCAACGGCAGCACCAUAAUACCCCCUUUACCAUCUCUAAUGUACGAAUGAGAAUUUAUAUUUCAUCAACGGUUUCCUUGCAAAUGAAACUAUUCAUCCCAAGAAAAUACUUUUAUACGUGUAUCCGUUCACAUUUUGUUUGUGGACGCUAUCCGAUUUUGAUGAAACUUGACAUUUAUGUUUAUAACCCACAGAUCUCGAUCCCUGUCGAUAUUCAUGCAUAUUGGACUGUAACUUCCUGGAUUAAGGCCUCUGAUUUUACGAAAAAUCGCGUUUUUGUCUUGUGGAUCACAAUUUUCAUCCUAUUUUGAUAUAUGUUUAUGGCGGAUUAUGGCCACUGAUUGCAUGAAAAAUCGCCUUUUAGCAAAUGGACCCUUGUUCUCAGUCCAUCUCUUGCAAAAUGUGGCCGUAUCUCGCAUGCCAACCGCUUGUUUUUCUAAGAUAUAACAAUAUUCACACAUAAUUUAUGUUAUUUAUUUGGAAACGCUUGUUUUUGUUCUAUUUUACAAGUAUCAUGGUUUAGUUUAAGACUUAAACUUUUCAAACGGCAAAUUGCCGAAAUCUCGAGAAAGUGUUUAAUUUCAAUCAAAAGCUGUUAUACGUGAAUUUAAAACACUUAAAUAAGGCCACACAAAAUAAAUGUCUUGUUUCUCGGGCAACUGACAGCUGAAACUGUAGGGAGGGAGGGCGGUUUCUUUUUUUUUUUUUACUCAUUGAUGGUGCAAAAUAAAAUUUGGCUAUUGCUGAAAAUUGUUGGGGCGGGAGGGCGGUCUUUCUUUUUUUUUUUUUAAAUGAGAAAGUCAUUACUUGUUUACGUUUUUGCUUUCCGUUAUAUUCAACUUUAUUGUACAUACUUAAAACAUAAACCCAAAAUCAAGUCUACUAAAACACUGAGACUGAACACUGACUGAAAGGAAAAUAAUUUUCCAUAUUUAAUUCACAUAAUUGAAAUUGGUUUAAAAUAAAAUUCCAUACGACUAUGUAAUAGCCCUCCAUAAAGACAACAAUAUUUUUAAAAACUAAGCCUCUUUCACCAGGUGUAUCAAAAAUAAUAAUCAUGGUAAACAGUAUUUAAAACUAAAUCUAGUAUCGCCGGUUUAUUUAUAAUUAUUUACCGAAUUCCAACCAAUGCAUGUCACACCGUGUCAUCGGUAUUGGAGAUUGCCGGAAAUACUGUUUCUUGGGAUAUUCGGUGUGUUUCUCAGGAUAUUCGGUGUUCUAUCCGGUGUUUAUAUUGAAUGACUAUUUAAAUCUAACUAACAACUGGUCAGUAAAACCAUCAAAUCGGUAAUCCAAUUAUUAUUUUCCGGAUUAUCGAAACUACCGUAAAUGUGCUAAUAAUGACCCAGAUUCUAAGGUAUGCAUUAUGACGACUAUCGUCAUCGUAUCGUAUUCUUAGCUAUAAUUAAUUAACCUGUUCUACGGUUCAUUAUUUUAUCAAUAGGAUUUUCCAAACAAGGACCGACUGAAGCCGGCAAUAAUGAGCCGAUUACGAUCGAAUGAUGGAAAUAUUGUCGCCAAUGACUUUUAACACGAAUCAAAUUCUAGUUUAUCAGGGGAGGUAAUUAAUAUCACGUGAUACAAAAUGGAGGUUCUUUCGAUAUCAAUAAAAAAGGCAAAUCUGCCAAACUUCGCCAUUGUUCGGAUAAAAAAGACAGCAUGUUCAUCUGAAUCAGUUUUAAUACAUUUGAAUAGAUAUACAUGUAUGGCGGAUGUAGGUACAUGCGGGAUAUUUUUUUUACGACUUGCUUGUCGAUGUGCGGGCGGGCGUUACAUAUUUUUUUUUUUUCAUCAAGACUAAUAAAUAGACUGCACGCGCAACCAAUUUUGCGUGCGGGCGGUGCCCGAGAAACAAGUUAUUUUAUUUGUGUUGCCUAAUAUAUCGUAAUUUACUUUCGCUUUUCAUUUCUCAAUCAUUUAUGUUGAAGUCUUUUGUAACAUUUCAAUUAAGUUCAUUAUGCUGUAUGUAUAACAAUCUCAUUUCAUCCGUAUCGGAAAUGUUAUUUGUUGACUAUUCAUGUUAUGUGUAUUUUAAAAUGGUACUUAAGUCUUUCAAUAGAAGGUAAAUAACAGACAAAUGGUGUACAUUUUGUUGUAUAAAAGAGCAUUAGGUAACAAAGAAGAACACGGAUAAGAUUUAUAUUAGUGUAAAUCCCCGAGAUGCUUGUGAUCAAAUUUGCUUUAUUUACAUAAAAUAUUACAUUUCUCUUUCUAUUCAAAUUUAUAAGAAGUUUAUAGAGUAUGAAAAUGAUUUAAUUUAAAUUAAUAAAAAUUAAAUAUAAAAUAGGAAAUUAAAUAAAUAAAACAAAUGUAUUUCCCUAUUAUUUAGUCAUUAUAAACUUAUUAGCCACUUUUAUAAUUUAUGAAUACUAAAGAAUCUGUAGGUAGGUCUAAACCAUAGCCUUGGGUAGUGUCUUGUGUUUGGAACGAGGAAGGAUAUGCUUACAUCUUCUAGAUCAUAUGAAACCACCUCCCGGAUGAGGUCUGAAAGAUAAUACACUGUGUUUUUACAUUUGUUACACUUUUAAUUCAUCUCCCUAAUUAGAGGUAGUUCAGCGUAGUUCUAAACGUAGUUGGACCUUCAAGAAACCCAUGAGUUGACCGUGGUUAGCCCAAAAUGUUUCAGCGGUGAUCUUGGAUGCCAAGACUCUAUUGGGGCAGUAGUAUGAACGUACUUGACCGUAAUUGACCCUAAUCGACCGCAGUGUUUACCCUAGUUAGUCGUAGUGUUUACCGUAGUUGACCGUAGUAAAACGGCACCCUACUCCAACCUAGUUGACCGGUGAAAUACGUUCAAAUGAACUACAGUCAACUACGUGCGUCGCUGUAAGAUGUGACCGCGGCGUUGAAGCUCUAAAAUACGUCUGACUAUAUGGUCAUCUGCUACAGUGCUGAAAUUUAACAGAAAUGAUGACCCAUAACACACGACACGAUAAUAUGGACUACAAAUUACUUACAUCUAGCAACGUUACAAACAUUCAAAGAAAGAAUGACGACGUACAGUAAAGGUAAUAAACACUCACCAUAUUAAUAUUUGUGACCACGAGUUCCUCCUUUUACCAGUACCCCAAACAGCAAACCAUUAACACUAUUAAUUCUACAAUAGCACCCGGAAACUCCACCGCAAAGUCAACCAGAACUGACCCAUCACCCAUACUCGUCAGAAUACCAUUUAAGUUCAGUUCAUCAUACGACAUCAGAAUUCAGGAACAGUCAUAAACUUUUGCAGAGGCAUUACCCUAAAAUACUCGCUCCGAGUCGAUGGAAAAAUCAACACUACCAUCCAACAAAAACCAAAAGGAAGUUCCGUGUUUGACUUGACUUGAAGUCUGGCUUAACGUCCGCUUCCACUUAAGGUGAUGAAUGCCGCUUAACACCUACUGAAAAUAUCGAACCCGAGACGUUCCCAACUUUUGUUUAAACUGUUAUCUUUGUAUGCUCUGCUUGGUGGAUGCAAUGAUAGAAUAAAAUUUUAUCUUCCUGUCGAUAAGUCUGUUCCAUACUGUCUCGACUACCAUGACCAGAUCGUAAAUGUUUUUAAAAAAGGUUAUUCCCAAGUCUAUUUUCGUGACUAAUAUGGGCUUUCCCAUUGGUGUUAGUGGGCCGAUAAAGUUUUCCCCGGGAUUUUCCAGCGUGGUUUCUUCCCUGUCUGCAGUGUAGGACGUAGAGCCCGACCGGGAACUGUGCCUAGUCAUUCGGUGGGGCGAAAAACCAAGGUCCCGUAUACACGUUCGUGUGCACGUAAGAGAACCCAUGGUAAUCGAAAUUCAAUGAAGAGUAGGCAGAAACUCCGCUGUAUGGGCAUAAUCCCCCUUAUAGCUCAAUGUAUGGCUCGUUGCAAUUGAUAUUUAUAGAAAGUUUUCUUCCAGGACUAGUUUUGUACCGAUCGUCACGGAUACGUCGAGAAAAAAGAAUCUCGUGUAAAUGGCAUGUUUUAGUAGAUUUCGAAUAGUUUAGUACUUUCUUCAACGGUCUUAAAUAUUUUAGAAUCAGUAAUGUCUGAUCCGUGUGAUAAAUUUUAUUAUUUUACGAAUAUUGGCUGUUAUCACUGAGGAACCAUUUGUGACAAAGCAGAAGCCAGGGGAAGUUUAUAUACAUGUUUGAAAUACUGCACAGAAAGCAACACACGAACUGCAUGCAGUCCAUUAUUAAUACGAGACGCAUUUUAAAGUACACCACACAUCAUGGAGGCCAUUGUUGGAAGUAAAGUGGAAAAGGUCAACGGUGACGUCAUACCUGUCAAGUCAAUCUGUGGACCGAGAACCAUAAUUGGUAUAUUAUUUACAUGGUCAGAAAGCAUACUAUGCCAACAAUAUCUACCAAAAGUCAUUGAGUUCUACAAACGUUACCACAUUAAAAGUAACAAAAACGGAAACUUCCAAGUUAUUGCUCUUAUUGAUAACGAAAACACAGAAACGCAAUGGGAAGCGUACCGCAAAACGAUGCCAUGGCUGGCCGUUCCAUACAGUAACAUUCAAAAUCUGAAAAAGAGAUUCUCAAACGUUGAUGGUUACCCUACUCUACAAAUGUAUGAUUCUGUUAGUGGAAAACUUCUUUCUCCAGAUAUAAUGAGCAGAGUUCUACAAGGUUCUUACGACCCUUUCGAGAUGAAUGGCAAUGACUAUGUUGAUAAUCUAACUGAUAUACACACCCACAUUUAAUUUAUUAAGUUAUGAGCCAAUAAAACCCAAGUUGCAACCAUGUUUUUGAAUGUGAUUUAUUAGAUAUUUAUUUUAGAAUUUGUGUCUCAUCUUUAUUUUAUAUGUAAUUUGUUUUUACUAUCUUAUGUAUUUCUGUUUUAUAUAAUGUACAUUUCGUCUCACAUAAUUCUGAGUGAGUUAUUUGAUUACUUCGUAUAUUCUAUUAUUGAAUAAUAUGAUGUACUUAUAACUGGUGCGCGGUUAAUAAACUACUACAAUUACAUUCAAUGUGGACGUAUAUUGUCCGGUAGUCACCUGCGCUGGAUGACGAUGGCUAUAUUAACAAUAGAAUCAGUUAUAAUUAUUGUUAUUGAAUGAAAUAACUAGACUGUUAUACACGCCCACAUUUAAGAAAAUUAAAUUUGAAAUUGUCAUAAAUUCUAGUCAUCAUUUGAAAUCAUCGUAUGGUUAAUAAACAUUAUAUGUCUA